GCUUAACACAUGCGAGUCGAGGGGCAGCAUGGUCUUAUCUUGCUAAGGCCGAUGGCGACCGGCGCACGGGUGAGUAACGCGUAUCCAACCUGCCUUACACUCUUGGACAGCCUUCUGAAAGGAAGAUUAAUACAAGAUGUUAUCAUGAGUAAGCAUUUUCGCAUGAUUAAAGGUUUACCGGUGUAGGAUGGGGAUGCGUUCCAUUAGAUAGUAGGCGGGGUAACGCCCCACCUAGUCUUCGAUGGAUAGGGGUUCUGAGAGGAAGGUCCCCCACAUUGGAAUUGAGACACGGUCCAAACUCCUACGGGAGGCAGCAGUGAGGAAUAUUGGUCAAUGGACGAGAGUCUGAACCAGCCAAGUAGUGUGAAGGAUGAAGGUUCUAUGGAUUGUAAACUUCUUUUAUACGGGAAUAAACGAAUCCACGCGUGGAUUUUUGCAUGUACCGUAUGAAUAAGGAUCGGCUAACUCCGUGCCAGCAGCCGCGGUAAUACGGAGGAUCCGAGCGUUAUCCGGAUUUAUUGGGUUUAAAGGGAGCGUAGAUGGGUUGUUAAGUCAGUUGUGAAAGUUUGCGGCUCAACCGUAAAAUUGCAAUUGAUACUGGCAGUCUUGAGUACAGUUGAGGUAGGCGGAAUUCGUGGUGUAGCGGUGAAAUGCUUAGAUAUCACGAAGAACUCCGAUUGCGAAGGCAGCUUACUAACCUGUAACUGACAUUGAUGCUCGAAAGUGUGGGUAUCAAACAGGAUUAGAUACCCUGGUAGUCCACACGGUAAACGGAGAAUACUCGCCGUAGGCGAUAUACAUUCUGCGGCCAAGCGAAAGCAUUAAGUAUUCCACCUGGGGGAGUACGCCGGCAACGGGAAAAUUCAAAGGAAAUGGACGGGGGCCCGCACAAGCGGAGGAACAUGUGGUUUUAUUCGAUGAUACGCGAGGAACCUUACCCGGGCUUAAAUUGCAACCGAAUAUGGGGGAAACGCUAUAGCUAGCAAUAGCGGUUGUGAAGGUGCUGCAUGGUUGUCGUCAGCUCGUGCCGUGAGGUGUCGGCUUAAGUGCCAUAACGAGCGCAACCCUUGCCGAUAGUUACUAACAGGUUAUGCUGAGGACUCUGUCGGGACUGCCAUCGUAAGAUGUGAGGAAGGUGGGGAUGACGUCAAAUCAGCACGGCCCUUACGUCCGGGGCUACACACGUGUUACAAUGGGGGGUACAGAGGGCUGCUACCACGCAAGUGGAUGCCAAUCCCAAAAACCUCUCUCAGUUCGGAUUGAAGUCUGCAACCCGACUUCAUGAAGCUGGAUUCGCUAGUAAUCGCGCAUCAGCCACGGCGCGGUGAAUACGUUCCCGGGCCUUGUACA
RNAcentral lists this ribosomal RNA (1350 nucleotides) under uncultured bacterium. RNAcentral describes it as "bacterial SSU rRNA". It matches the Rfam family "Bacterial small subunit ribosomal RNA", at positions 46 to 1387 of the family's 1533-position model. The record is from RNAcentral.